This 898-nucleotide ribosomal RNA is filed under the name uncultured bacterium. RNAcentral describes it as "bacterial SSU rRNA". It matches the Rfam family "Bacterial small subunit ribosomal RNA", at positions 8 to 916 of the family's 1533-position model. The record is from RNAcentral.
AGAGUUUGAUCCUGGCUCAGGAUGAACGCUGGCGGCGUGCUUAACACAUGCAAGUCGAACGAAGCACUUUGAAAGCUUGCUUUCAAAGUGACUGAGUGGCGGACGGGUGAGUAACGCGUGGGUAACCUGCCUUAUACAGGGGGAUAACAGUUGGAAACGACUGCUAAUACCGCAUAAGCGCACAGUGCCGCAUGGUACAGUGUGAAAAACUCCGGUGGUAUAAGAUGGACCCGCGUCUGAUUAGCUAGUUGGUGAGGUAACGGCUCACCAAGGCGACGAUCAGUAGCCGGCUUGAGAGAGUGAUCGGCCACAUUGGGACUGAGACACGGCCCAAACUCCUACGGGAGGCAGCAGUGGGGAAUACUGCACAAUGGGGGAAACCCUGAUGCAGCAACGCCGCGUGAGUGAAGAAGUAUUUCGGUAUGUAAAGCUCUAUCAGCAGGGAAGAUAAUGACGGUACCUGACUAAGAAGCCCCGGCUAACUACGUGCCAGCAGCCGCGGUAAUACGUAGGGGGCAAGCGUUAUCCGGAUUUACUGGGUGUAAAGGGAGCGUAGGCGGCUUGGCAAGUCUGAUGUGAAAGCCCAGGGCUCAACCCUGGGACUGCAUUGGAAACUGUCAGGCUAGAGUGCAGGAGAGGUAAGUGGAAUUCCUAGUGUAGCGGUGAAAUGCGUAGAUAUUAGGAGGAACACCAGUGGCGAAGGCGGCUUACUGGACUGUAACUGACGCUGAGGCUCGAAAGCGUGGGGAGCAAACAGGAUUAGAUACCCUGGUAGUCCACGCUGUAAACGAUGAAUACUAGGUGUCGGGUCCGUCAAGGAUUCGGUGCCGCAGCUAACGCAAUAAGUAUUCCACCUGGGGAGUACGUUCGCAAGAAUGAAACUCAAAUGAAUUGACGG